This 856-nucleotide long non-coding RNA is filed under the name Pongo abelii (Sumatran orangutan). RNAcentral describes it as "lincRNA". The record is from RNAcentral. Lineage: Eukaryota; Metazoa; Chordata; Mammalia; Primates; Hominidae.
ACUUUCUUCAGGGCUAGCAGAUGAAGGCAGCAAGGAAAACACCACCACAAGACCGACUUUAGGCUGGAGCUGAUGAUGCCACACGGAAAAUAGACUCAGAAAUGAAACUCAACUAAAGGUAAAAGAUGUCUGGAACAUCUCCAAGAAAGCCAGAGUCAGCCUCUAAACUUUGCAUCAAGAAUGGCAAUGGCUUCCCUGAGGGCCCAGGGACGCUUGGCAGCUGUGAGGGAUCCCCUUCUCUGCUAUCAAGGAACUGGACACUUCUCCUGUCCCUUCCCACAAGGUAUAAUAUUAGGCAGAAACCCAAUUUAAAAAGAAAAGCAGAGCUGUUGUAGAUUCAGCGAGGGUUGGCGACCUGGUUCCAAUGAGCCAUCUCCCUGUUCCGACAGGGGCUUCCUGGAGCUCCUGCAACCCCAGGCAUUAGUUCCAGUGCAGUUCUAGGAUCAGAUCAAUUCACUCGACAACAAGAGAAACAAAUGGAGAUUCCUACACAAAGACUUUCAAGCACAAAGAAAUCCUGCUGCCUAUAAAGCAGAGCUGCCUCAGCUCUUGAUGAACGACAGAAAAUACCACCUACUGCCAGACCUCUUCGCCUCACAAAACUCUCACCCACCUACUGCUUUUAGCUCAAAUUCCAGGAAUUCAGAUGAAGUGAAGUGCUCUCAUGGGGACCAGGCGUGGGUAUGCCAGUCCACUGCCCUGCAAGUCUCAAGGGAAACCAACUGCCCAUCAGCAAGUCACACCUGCCUUGGUGGAGGCAUUGAUUGGAAGGGCCACAGGCUACAUGUCCAGUCCUGAGUGGGAGAAUCGGUGUAGGGAUGUUCUGGGGAUGCUGGCUGUGGCUAGAUCAGGUCCA